GAUGAACGCUGGCGGCGUGCUUAACACAUGCAAGUCGAACGGAAAGGCCCAAGCUUGCUUGGGUACUCGAGUGGCGAACGGGUGAGUAACACGUGGGUGAUCUGCCCUGCACUUCGGGAUAAGCCUGGGAAACUGGGUCUAAUACCGGAUAGGACGAUGGUUUGGAUGCCAUUGUGGAAAGUUUUUUCGGUGUGGGAUGAGCUCGCGGCCUAUCAGCUUGUUGGUGGGGUAAUGGCCUACCAAGGCGUCGACGGGUAGCCGGCCUGAGAGGGUGUACGGCCCCAUUGGGGCUGAGAUACGGCCCAGACUCCUACGGGAGGCAGCAGUGGGGGAUAUUGCACCAUGGGCGCAAGCCUGAUGCAGCGACGCCGCGUGGGGGAUGACGGCCUUCGGGUUGUAAACUCCUUUCGCUAGGGACGAAGCGUUUUUGUGACGGUACCUGGAGAAGAAGCACCGGCUAACUACGUG
Molecule: ribosomal RNA, 468 nt
Filed under: uncultured bacterium
Lineage: Bacteria
Description: partial 16S ribosomal RNA
Rfam family: Bacterial small subunit ribosomal RNA
Source: RNAcentral